This 468-nucleotide ribosomal RNA is filed under the name uncultured bacterium. RNAcentral's name for it is "partial 16S ribosomal RNA". It matches the Rfam family "Bacterial small subunit ribosomal RNA", at positions 28 to 507 of the family's 1533-position model. The record is from RNAcentral.
GACGAACGCUGGCGGCGUGCUUAACACAUGCAAGUCGAACGGAAAGGCCCUGCUUUUGUGGGGUGCUCGAGUGGCGAACGGGUGAGUAACACGUGAGUAACCUGCCCUUGACAUUGGGAUAACUUCAGGAAACUGGGGCUAAUACCGGAUAGGAGCUCCUGCUGCAUGGUGGGGGUUGGAAAGUUUCGGCGGUUGGGGAUGGACUCGCGGCUUAUCAGCUUGUUGGUGGGGUAGUGGCUUACCAAGGCUUUGACGGGUAGCCGGCCUGAGAGGGUGACCGGCCACAUUGGGACUGAGAUACGGCCCAGACUCCUACGGGAGGCAGCAGUGGGGAAUAUUGCACAAUGGGCGGAAGCCUGAUGCAGCAACGCCGCGUGCGGGAUGACGGCCUUCGGGUUGUAAACCGCUUUCGCCUGUGACGAAGCGUGAGUGACGGUAAUGGGUAAAGAAGCACCGGCUAACUACGUG